Molecule: long non-coding RNA, 452 nt
Organism: Mytilus californianus (California mussel)
Lineage: Eukaryota; Metazoa; Mollusca; Bivalvia; Mytilida; Mytilidae
Exons: 3
Source: RefSeq, a predicted model, not a curated record
GGUCCUUGACUAAAGCUCAAAUCACGUUCGUCGUAAUCAUUUAUUUAGAUAACUGAUGCAUACUUUUUGACUAACAGUAACAGAUCAAGUGGUAUUCAUAUGCAGAUUAAAUCAUAAUUACUCAAAAGACAUGCAUCUUUCAUCACCGUUCAAAAAUCAGACAUUGAAAUUAUGGUUGUCGUUUGUUGCUGGUGUUCUUGCCAAUGCGCUAUUGGGACCAUCGGAAAUAUUCUAUAUAUAUGCAAAUGAGCUUCAAGUCAUAUUUAAUAUCAAUAAGAAACAAGUUGAAAUGUUCGCGUCCAUCCAGACUAUAGGAAAUGGAAUUGGAUUCGUGUUAUGUACGUUUACAGAUUCAUUGAAUCCCAUAUGUUUCUUGGUGGUUGGUUUCGUGUUUACUCUGAUUGGGCCGACUGUAUUAUGGGUGGCGACAUUAGAUCAGCAUAUGACAAACA